RNAcentral lists this small nuclear RNA (275 nucleotides) under Sorex araneus (European shrew). Its description in RNAcentral is "7SK RNA (ENSSARG00000017558.1)". It matches the Rfam family "7SK RNA", at positions 1 to 290 of the family's 331-position model. Rfam says of the family: 7SK was discovered as an abundant small nuclear RNA in the mid-70s but a possible function has only recently been suggested. Two independent studies have found that 7SK RNA binds the CDK9/cyclin T complex (known as elongation factor P-TEFb). P-TEFb activates transcription by phosphorylating the C-terminal domain of RNA polymerase II. The record is from RNAcentral. Lineage: Eukaryota; Metazoa; Chordata; Mammalia; Eulipotyphla; Soricidae.
GGAUGUGAGGGUGAUCCGGCUGCAACAUCUGUUGCCCCGUUGAUCACCAGGGUUCAUUCGGCUGACCUGGCCAGUAGGCGGGUGUCCCCUUCCUCCCUUAUCGCUCCAUGUGUGUCCCGCCUGAAGCUUCACGCCCUGUCAAAGAGGACGGCCUCCCCAAAUUGAGAUGGACCGGUCGUCUUCAGCUGAGGACAUCUGAGUAGCUGCGCUCCUGGCCAGAACCCAAACAGGCUCUCAGAAUUCCAGGCCAGGAACAUGGCUCAGCAGUAGUGUCA